RNAcentral lists this unclassified non-coding RNA (375 nucleotides) under Hevea brasiliensis (rubber tree). The record is from RNAcentral. Lineage: Eukaryota; Viridiplantae; Streptophyta; Magnoliopsida; Malpighiales; Euphorbiaceae.
AGUAAGUAUGAGUGAGGAAGAUAACGAAGGGGACGAUGACUGCUUGGAUGAUUGGGAAGCUGUUGCUGAUGCUUUAGCUGCCACUGAUAAGGAGCAGGAGCAGCAUAACUCUAGCUUGGAUUCAGCUCCACAGGUUCAUAUGAGUUUUCAACAAGAAGUUUCUGACGGGAAGGUACCAGCGCUGGAUACAUCACAGCAGAAUCCCAAGGGCAGAGGAACUAUACCUGUAUUUCCUGUCAGCUUUCAGGCGUGGAGGCCCGAUGAUGAAUUCCGUCCCCAAAGUCUUCCAAAUUUGUCAAAACAAUAUACUUUCCCUAUGAAUUCAGGGCGUCAUUGCCGGGGAGGCUCUGUCUGGGGAUGUAAAAGUGCAGCGAU